CUCAUAUUGUCUGAAAGGUCCUGCUCGGAGAGCACCCACGUCCCACCUCCCGACAGAUCGCCCGCAUCAAAAAAAACACGGGGGACGGGAUGGGCCCCCCUGCGACCAGAACCCUCAUGCUGAAACGUCACAAGGACCCCAUUUUCCGUCUGCAAAUCCCCACCAACCCAGCUCACCCUAGGAACAACACGCAUCCCAGAGAGUGUCCUGACAGCAGAACAACGUGGAGCAUACCCGGGGAGCCCUUUCCCCGACACUGCUAUUCAUAACAUACGAUGCCCUGACACACUCCUC
Molecule: non-coding RNA, 294 nt
Organism: Pelobates cultripes (western spadefoot toad)
Lineage: Eukaryota; Metazoa; Chordata; Amphibia; Anura; Pelobatidae
Source: the annotation of a GenBank genome assembly